This 440-nucleotide ribosomal RNA is filed under the name uncultured bacterium. RNAcentral describes it as "partial 16S ribosomal RNA". It matches the Rfam family "Bacterial small subunit ribosomal RNA", at positions 338 to 795 of the family's 1533-position model. The record is from RNAcentral.
CCUACGGGGUGCAGCAGUAGGGAAUAUUGCUCAAUGGGGGAGACCCUGAAGCAGCAACGCAGCGUGGAGGAUGAAGGUCUUCGGAUUGUAAACUUCUUUUGUUAGAGAAGAUAAUGACGGUAUCUAACGAAUAAGCACCGGCGAACUCCGUGCCAGCAGCCACGGUAAUACGGAGGGUGCAAGCGUUAUGCGGAAUCACUGGGCGUAAAGGGCGCGUAGGCGGGUUAGCAAGUCAGAUGUGAAAUCCUAGGGCUUAACCAUAGAACUGCAUUUGAAACUGUUAUUCUAGAGUAUGGGAGAGGUAGGUGGAAUUCUUGGUGUAGCGGUGAAAUCCGUAGAGAUCAAGAAGAAUACUCAUUGCGAAGGCAGCCUACUAGAACAUGACUGACGCUGAUGCGCGAAAGCGUGGGGAGCAAACAGGAUUAGAUACCCUUGUAGUC